Bos taurus (domestic cattle) is the source of this 72-nucleotide non-coding RNA. NCBI's taxonomy places the organism in Eukaryota, Metazoa, Chordata, Mammalia, Artiodactyla, Bovidae. The record is from Rfam.
UCCCUGGUGGCUCAGAGGUUAAAGUGUCUGCCUCCAAUGUAGGAGACCCAGUUUCGAUCCCUGGGUUGGGAA